This 254-nucleotide ribosomal RNA is filed under the name uncultured bacterium. RNAcentral's name for it is "partial 16S ribosomal RNA". It matches the Rfam family "Bacterial small subunit ribosomal RNA", at positions 524 to 776 of the family's 1533-position model. The record is from RNAcentral.
UACGGAGAGUGCAAGCAUUAAUCGGAAUUAUUGGGCGUAAAGGGCGCGUAGGCGGAUGGUCAAGUCAGAUGUGAAAUUCCGAAGCUCAACUUCGGAGCUGCAUUUGAAACUAGCGAUCUAAGAGGGUUGACGGAGAAAACGGAAUUCCACGUGUAGCGGUGAAAUUCGUAGAUAUUGGGAAGAACACCGGUGGCGAAGGCGGCCAACUGGACCACAACUGACGCUGAGGCGCGAAAGCGUGGGGAGCAAACAGG